GGGAGUAUAGUUCAGUGGUAGAACACCGGCCUCCAAAGCCGGGUGUCGUGGGUUCAAGUCCUGCUACUCCCG
Molecule: transfer RNA, 72 nt
Filed under: Armatimonadota bacterium
Lineage: Bacteria; Bacillati; Armatimonadota
Description: Armatimonadetes bacterium tRNA-Trp
Rfam family: tRNA
About the family: Transfer RNA (tRNA) molecules are approximately 80 nucleotides in length.
Source: RNAcentral